Molecule: ribosomal RNA, 488 nt
Filed under: uncultured Ruminococcus sp.
Lineage: Bacteria; Bacillati; Bacillota; Clostridia; Eubacteriales; Oscillospiraceae
Description: partial 16S ribosomal RNA
Source: RNAcentral
CACGUAGUUAGCCGGAGCUUUUUCUUCAGGUACCGUCAUUAUCGUCCCUGAUAAAAGGAGUUUACAAUCCGAAAACCUUCUUCCUCCACGCGGCAUCGCUGCAUCAGGUUUCCCCCCAUUGUGCAAUAUUCCCCACUGCUGCCUCCCGUAGGAGUCUGGGCCGUGUCUCAGUCCCAAUGUGGCCGUUCAACCUCUCAGUCCGGCUACUGAUCGUCGACUUGGUGAGCCGUUACCUCACCAACUAUCUAAUCAGACGCGAGCCCAUCUCUGAGCGAAUUUCUUUGAUAACCAAAAUCAUGCGAUUUCACUAUGUUAUGAGGUAUUACCAUCCGUUUCCAGAAGCUAUCCCUCUCUCAGAGGCAGGUUGCUCACGUGUUACUCACCCGUCCGCCACUAACUUGAGGAAGCAAGCUUCCUCUCGUCCGUUCGACUUGCAUGUGUUAGGCGUGCCGCCAGCGUGUCCUCGUGCCGACGGAGUCAAACCUACU